AUGGCUGACGAUCCAGCUACGAAGCCUAAAGAGCAGGCCAAGUUGAUGGAACAAAAAGAAGGAAAGGGAUCUGACGAUUCACCUACAGAACUGUCCUCCCCAUUCAAGUCGAUGGAGGAGAAAGGAGAAACAGAUCUGGUGACUCAACUGCAAAACUGGCUGGCCCAUCCAAGAUGAGCGAGCUACGCCACAUAGAGCCAGAAAGACGUAGGAGCUUUUUGAAG
Molecule: long non-coding RNA, 224 nt
Filed under: Strongylocentrotus purpuratus (purple sea urchin)
Lineage: Eukaryota; Metazoa; Echinodermata; Echinoidea; Camarodonta; Strongylocentrotidae
Description: uncharacterized LOC105447594, transcript variant X1
Source: RNAcentral